UGUCCACUAGACACCAUUCUUGACAGGAAAGCAGCUUUAUGAAAGCAAACACACACAAUUAUAAUUUGGAGACAACAUAUAUCCUCCAAAGGGUGGGAACAUUAUUUUUGAAAUACUAGCCUCACGAAGGCCCAAGCAGGAGGGGUAAUUAGGGUACAUAUAAAUUUAGAUACUGAAUGUAAAAAGGUAGAGUACAAAAUGCAAGCAUUCUGGAAAGAAACUUAGAAAUAGAAUGCAGCUUUACAAAAACAAUACGCGAAACAUUUGAUUUAACAUCAGAUGUGGAAAAGUAGAAGUAAUAAUGUCAUAGAGAGUUUAUAAUUUACGUAGCAUUCCUAGCUAGAACGGCAGUAGAAAAGACAAUCUCAGUGAGAGGUGUCAUCUGCCAUUUUAU
RNAcentral lists this long non-coding RNA (394 nucleotides) under Dermacentor andersoni. RNAcentral describes it as "uncharacterized LOC126530131". The record is from RNAcentral. Lineage: Eukaryota; Metazoa; Arthropoda; Arachnida; Ixodida; Ixodidae.